Long non-coding RNA from Haliotis rufescens (red abalone), 2820 nucleotides. RefSeq lists it as uncharacterized. Lineage: Eukaryota; Metazoa; Mollusca; Gastropoda; Lepetellida; Haliotidae. The record is from RefSeq and is a predicted model, not a curated record. The transcript has 3 exons.
UAUUUACUUACCUCACAGAAGGUAUCUGUCUGUUAAUCACAUGGUCAUGCUUCUAUAUCAACAUGUAAAUAAUUGUAAUCUUAAUUCACUUUUGAUUUCUUGUUAAUUGACUGGAACCACAAUGACAAUUUAAAAAAAGAAUAUCACUAAGUCGGGUUUGUAUGGGCACCAGUUACCUGUACCGCUGUGCAUGCUCUUUACAUGUUGUUUGUUGUUUACAACCUCUCUUUAUGAUGACAGUCUGUAAAUAAUCGAGUCUGGAACAGACAAUCCAGUGACUGACAUCAUGAGCAUCAAUACACGCAAUUUAGUCAAUUAUGCAGCCAGUUUGAGAAGAAUGGAUUGCUAUAGACCAUUUCUAACUCUGAUCUUCAUGGGUGCUUUACACAUGGCUUGAGGCAUGUUGCUUCUUCAUCAGGUGCAGGGAGGUGAAUGAUUCACAUGCUCUUUAUCAGGUGCAGGGAGGUGAAUGAUUCACUUGCCUCAUCAGGUGCAGGGAGGUGAUUGAUUCACAUGCUCUUUAUCAGGUGCAGGGAGGUGAAUGAUUCACAUGCCUCAUCAGGUGCAGGAUGGUGAAUGAUUCACUUGCCUCAUCAGGUGCAGGGAGGUGAAUGAUUCACAUGCCAUUUAUCAGGUGCAAGGAGGUGAAUGAUUCACAUGCCUCAUCAGGUGCAGGGAGGUGAAUGAUUCACUUGCCUCAUCAGGUGCAGAGAGGUGAAUGAUUCACAUGCUCUUUAUCAGGUGCAGGGAGGUGAAUGAUUCACAUGCCUCAUCAGGUGCAGGGAGGUGAAUGAUUCACUUGCCUCAUCAGGUGCAGGGAGGUGCCUGAUUCACAUGCUCUUUAUCAGGUGCAGGAUGGUGAAUGAUUCACAUGCCUCAUCAGGUGCAGGGAGGUGACUGAUUCACAUGCUCUUUAUCAGGUGCAGGAUGGUGAAUGAUUCACAUGCCUCAUCAGGUGCAGGGAGGUGAAUGAUUCACAUGUCUCAUCAGGUGCAGGGAGGUGAAUGAUUCACAUGCCUCAUCAGGUGCAGGGAGGUGAAUGAUUCACAUGCCUCAUCAGGUGCAGGGAGGUGAAUGAUUCACAUGCCUCAUCAGGUGCAGGAUGGUGAAUGAUUCACAUGCCUCAUCAGGUGCAGGGAGGUGAAUGAUUCACAUGCCCUUUAUCAGAUGCAGGAUGGUGAAUGAUUCACAUGCCUCAUCAGGUGCAGGGAGGUGAAUGAUUCACAUGCCCUUUAUCAGAUACAGGAUGGUGAAUGAUUCACAUGCCUCAUCAGGUGCAGGGAGGUGAAUGAUUCACUUGCCUCAUCAGGUGCAAGGAGCUGAAUGAUUCACAUGCCAUUUAUCAGGUGGAGGAUGGUGAAUGAUUCACAUGCCUCAUCAGGUGCAGGAUGGUGAAUGAUUCACUUGCCUCAUCAGGUGCAGGAUGGUGAAUGAUUCACAUGCCCUUUAUCAGGUGCAGGAUGGUGAAUGAUUCACAUGCCUCAUCAGGUGCAAGGAGGUUAAUGAUUCACAUGCUCUUUAUCAGGUGCAGGGAGGUGAAUGAUUCACAUGCCUCAUCAGGUGCAGGAUGGUGAAUGAUUCACAUGCCUCAUCAGGUGCAGGAUGGUGAAUGAUUCACUUGCCUCAUCAGGUGCAAGGAGGUAAAUGAUUCACAUGCUCUUUAUCAGGUGCAGGGAGGUGAAUGAUUCACAUGCCUCAUCAGGUGCAGGGAGGUGAAUGAUUCACAUGCCUCAUCAGGUGCAAGGAGGUGAAUGAUUCACAUGGUCUUUAUCAGGUGCAGGGAGGUGAAUGAUUCACAUGCCUCAUCAGGUGCAGGUUGGUGAAUGAUUCACUUGCCUCAUCAGGUGCAGGAUGGUGAAUGAUUCACAUGCCCUUUAUCAGGUGCAGGAUGGUGAAUGAUUCACAUGCCUCAUCAGGUGCAGGGAGGUGAAUGAUUCACAUGCUCUUUAUCAGGUGCAGGGAGGUGAAUGAUUCACAUGCCUCAUCAGGUGCAGGAUGGUGAAUGAUUCACUUGCCUCAUCAGGUGCAGGAUGGUGAAUGAUUCACAUGCCUCAUCAGGUGCAAGGAGGUGAAUGAUUCACAUGCUCUUUAUCAGGUGCAGGGAGGUGAAUGAUUCACAUGCCUCAUCAGGUGCAGGAUGGUGAAUGAUUCACAUGCCUCAUCAGGUGCAGGGAGGUGAAUGAUUCACAUGCCUCAUCAGGUGCAGGGAGGUGAAUGAUUCACAUGCCUCAUCAGGUGCAGGAUGGUGAAUGAUUCACAUGCCUCAUCAGGCGCAGGGAGGUGAAUGAUUCACAUGCCCUUUAUCAGGUGCAGGAUGGUGAAUGAUUCACAUGCCUCAUCAGGUGCAAGGAGGUGAAAGAUUCACAUGCCCUUUAUCAGAUACAGGAUGGUGAAUGAUUCACAUGCCUCAUCAGGUGCAGGGAGGUGAAUGAUUCACUUGCCUCAUCAGGUGCAAGGAGCUGAAUGAUUCACAUGCCAUUUAUCAGGUGGAGGAUGGUGAAUGAUUCACAUGCCUCAUCAGGUGCAGGAUGGUGAAUGAUUCACUUGCCUCAUCAGGUGCAAGGAGGUGAAUGAUUCACAUGCUCUUUAUCAGGUGCAGGGAGGUGAAUUAUUCACAUGCCUCAUCAGGUGCAGGGAGGUGAAUGAUUCACUUGCCUCAUCAGGUGCAGGAUGGUGAAUGAUUCACAUGCCCUUUAUCAGGUGCAGGAUGGUGAAUGAUUCAAAUGCCUCAUCAGGUGCAAGGAGGUUAAUGAUUCACAUGCUCUUUAUCAGGUGCAGGGAGGUGAAUGAUUCACAUGCCUCAUCAGGUGCAGGGAGGUG